GACGAACGCUGGCGGCGCGCCUAACACAUGCAAGUCGAACGAGCGAGAGAGACCUUGCUUUCUCGAGCGAGUGGCGAACGGGUGAGUAACGCGUGAGGAACCUGCCCCAAAGAGUGGGACAACAUUUGGAAACGACUGCUUAUACCGCAUAAGCCCACGACCCGGCAUCGGGUCGAGGGAAAAGGAGCAAUCCGCUUUGAGAUGGCCCCGCAUCCGAUUAGCUAGUUGGGGAGGUAACGGCCCACCAAGGCGACGAUCGGUAGCCGGACUGAGAGGUUGAACCGCCACAUUGGGAAUGAGACACAGCCCAGACUCCUACGGGAGGGAGCAGAGGGGAAUAUUGCAGAAUGGGGGCAGACCUGAUGCAGCGACGCCGCGUAGAGGAAGAAGGUGUUCGGAUUGUAAACUCCUGUUGUAGAGGAAGAUAAUGACGGUACUCAACAAGGAAGUGACGGCUAACUACGUG
RNAcentral lists this ribosomal RNA (466 nucleotides) under uncultured bacterium. RNAcentral's name for it is "partial 16S ribosomal RNA". It matches the Rfam family "Bacterial small subunit ribosomal RNA", at positions 28 to 507 of the family's 1533-position model. The record is from RNAcentral.